This 484-nucleotide ribosomal RNA is filed under the name uncultured bacterium. RNAcentral describes it as "partial 16S ribosomal RNA". It matches the Rfam family "Bacterial small subunit ribosomal RNA", at positions 29 to 523 of the family's 1533-position model. The record is from RNAcentral.
AGUGAACGCUGGCGGCGUGCUUAACACAUGCAAGUCGAACGAGAACGGGCUAUAGCUUGCUAUAGUUGUCAGCUAAGUGGCGCACGGGUGAGUAAUGUAUAGGUAAUAUGCCUCUUACUAAGGGAUAACAAAUGGAAACGUUUGCUAAUACCUUAUACUCCUUAUUAACAGAAGUUAAUAAGGGAAAGAUUUAUUGGUAAGAGAUUAGCCUGUAUUGUAUCAGUUAGUUGGUGGGGUAAUGGCUUACCAAGACUAUGACACAUAACUGGUUUGAGAGGAUGAUCAGUCACACUGGAACUGAGACACGGUCCAGACUCCUACGGGAGGCAGCAGUGGGGAAUAUUGCACAAUGGACGAAAGUUUGAUGCAGCAACGUCGCGUGGAGGAUGACACAUUUCGGUGCGUAAACUCCUUUUAUAUGAGAAGAUAAUGACGGUAUUAUAUGAAUAAGCACCGGCUAACUCCGUGCCAGCAGCCGCGGUAA